CAUUUUAAGUUCAUUUCUCUUGCCCACUAUUAUAGAUCAACAAACAAAGUGGCGAAUUGGGUCACAAAAGCCCAUCGUUUGAAAUCCAAUGCAAUAUACACUCAAGGAAUUCAUGGAAAAAUAAAAAUCCAAGUACGUUUCGUUCAGGU
Long non-coding RNA from Rhodamnia argentea, 149 nucleotides. RefSeq lists it as uncharacterized. The record is from RefSeq and is a predicted model, not a curated record. Lineage: Eukaryota; Viridiplantae; Streptophyta; Magnoliopsida; Myrtales; Myrtaceae. The transcript is spliced from 2 exons.